CCGAGUUUAGACGCUCCCAAACCCCUGUGAACGUACCGACCCCCGUUGCUUCGGCGGUGCCGCCCCGGGCGCGGGCCUCUCUCGAGGCCGCCAGCCCCGGAACCAGGCGCCCGCCGGGGGACCCUCGAAAACCCUUGAUUUUCCUGAAGGCCUCCUCUGAGCCGCGCUCCACGAGCGCGGGAGAAAUCACGAAUCAAUCA
This 200-nucleotide unclassified non-coding RNA is filed under the name uncultured Hypocreales. Its description in RNAcentral is "sequence contains ITS1". Lineage: Eukaryota; Fungi; Ascomycota; Sordariomycetes; Hypocreales. The record is from RNAcentral.